RNAcentral lists this ribosomal RNA (2900 nucleotides) under Klebsiella oxytoca. Its description in RNAcentral is "bacterial LSU rRNA". It matches the Rfam family "Bacterial large subunit ribosomal RNA". RNAcentral also lists the same sequence under 100 other names. The record is from RNAcentral. Lineage: Bacteria; Pseudomonadati; Pseudomonadota; Gammaproteobacteria; Enterobacterales; Enterobacteriaceae.
UUAAGCGACUAAGCGUACACGGUGGAUGCCCUGGCAGUCAGAGGCGAUGAAGGACGUGCUAAUCUGCGAAAAGCGUCGGUAAGGUGAUAUGAACCGUUACAGCCGGCGAUGUCCGAAUGGGGAAACCCAGUGCAAUUCGUUGCACUAUCGUUAACUGAAUACAUAGGUUAACGAGGCGAACCGGGGGAACUGAAACAUCUAAGUACCCCGAGGAAAAGAAAUCAACCGAGAUUCCCCCAGUAGCGGCGAGCGAACGGGGAGCAGCCCAGAGUCUGAAUCAGCUUGUGUGUUAGUGGAACGGUCUGGAAAGUCCGACGGUACAGGGUGAUAGUCCCGUACACCAAAAUGCACAGGUUGUGAACUCGAAGAGUAGGGCGGGACACGUGGUAUCCUGUCUGAAUAUGGGGGGACCAUCCUCCAAGGCUAAAUACUCCUGACUGACCGAUAGUGAACCAGUACCGUGAGGGAAAGGCGAAAAGAACCCCGGCGAGGGGAGUGAAAAAGAACCUGAAACCGUGUACGUACAAGCAGUGGGAGCACCUUCGGGUGUGACUGCGUACCUUUUGUAUAAUGGGUCAGCGACUUAUAUUCUGUAGCAAGGUUAACCGUAUAGGGGAGCCGCAGGGAAACCGAGUCUUAACUGGGCGUUAAGUUGCAGGGUAUAGACCCGAAACCCGGUGAUCUAGCCAUGGGCAGGUUGAAGGUUGGGUAACACUAACUGGAGGACCGAACCGACUAAUGUUGAAAAAUUAGCGGAUGACUUGUGGCUGGGGGUGAAAGGCCAAUCAAACCGGGAGAUAGCUGGUUCUCCCCGAAAGCUAUUUAGGUAGCGCCUCGUGAACUCAUCUUCGGGGGUAGAGCACUGUUUCGGCUAGGGGGUCAUCCCGACUUACCAACCCGAUGCAAACUACGAAUACCGAAGAAUGUUAUCACGGGAGACACACGGCGGGUGCUAACGUCCGUCGUGAAGAGGGAAACAACCCAGACCGCCAGCUAAGGUCCCAAAGUCAUGGUUAAGUGGGAAACGAUGUGGGAAGGCACAGACAGCCAGGAUGUUGGCUUAGAAGCAGCCAUCAUUUAAAGAAAGCGUAAUAGCUCACUGGUCGAGUCGGCCUGCGCGGAAGAUGUAACGGGGCUAAACCAUGCACCGAAGCUGCGGCAGCGACACUAUGUGUUGUUGGGUAGGGGAGCGUUCUGUAAGCCUGCGAAGGUGUGCUGUGAGGCAUGCUGGAGGUAUCAGAAGUGCGAAUGCUGACAUAAGUAACGAUAAAGCGGGUGAAAAGCCCGCUCGCCGGAAGACCAAGGGUUCCUGUCCAACGUUAAUCGGGGCAGGGUGAGUCGACCCCUAAGGCGAGGCCGAAAGGCGUAGUCGAUGGGAAACAGGUUAAUAUUCCUGUACUUGGUGUUACUGCGAAGGGGGGACGGAGAAGGCUAUGUUAGCCGGGCGACGGUUGUCCCGGUUUAAGCAUGUAGGCUGGUUAUCCAGGCAAAUCCGGAUAAUCAAGGCUGAGGUGUGAUGACGAGGCACUACGGUGCUGAAGUAACAAAUGCCCUGCUUCCAGGAAAAGCCUCUAAGCAUCAGGUAACAUCAAAUCGUACCCCAAACCGACACAGGUGGUCAGGUAGAGAAUACCAAGGCGCUUGAGAGAACUCGGGUGAAGGAACUAGGCAAAAUGGUGCCGUAACUUCGGGAGAAGGCACGCUGGUGUGUAGGUGAAGUCCCUGCGGAUGGAGCUGAGACCAGUCGAAGAUACCAGCUGGCUGCAACUGUUUAUUAAAAACACAGCACUGUGCAAACACGAAAGUGGACGUAUACGGUGUGACGCCUGCCCGGUGCCGGAAGGUUAAUUGAUGGGGUUAUCCGUAAGGAGAAGCUCUUGAUCGAAGCCCCGGUAAACGGCGGCCGUAACUAUAACGGUCCUAAGGUAGCGAAAUUCCUUGUCGGGUAAGUUCCGACCUGCACGAAUGGCGUAAUGAUGGCCAGGCUGUCUCCACCCGAGACUCAGUGAAAUUGAACUCGCUGUGAAGAUGCAGUGUACCCGCGGCAAGACGGAAAGACCCCGUGAACCUUUACUAUAGCUUGACACUGAACAUUGAGCCUUGAUGUGUAGGAUAGGUGGGAGGCUUUGAAGCGUGGACGCCAGUCUGCGUGGAGCCAACCUUGAAAUACCACCCUUUAAUGUUUGAUGUUCUAACGUUGGCCCCUGACCGGGGUUGCGGACAGUGUCUGGUGGGUAGUUUGACUGGGGCGGUCUCCUCCCAAAGCGUAACGGAGGAGCACGAAGGUUAGCUAAUCCUGGUCGGACAUCAGGAGGUUAGUGCAAUGGCAUAAGCUAGCUUGACUGCGAGCGUGACGGCGCGAGCAGGUGCGAAAGCAGGUCAUAGUGAUCCGGUGGUUCUGAAUGGAAGGGCCAUCGCUCAACGGAUAAAAGGUACUCCGGGGAUAACAGGCUGAUACCGCCCAAGAGUUCAUAUCGACGGCGGUGUUUGGCACCUCGAUGUCGGCUCAUCACAUCCUGGGGCUGAAGUAGGUCCCAAGGGUAUGGCUGUUCGCCAUUUAAAGUGGUACGCGAGCUGGGUUUAGAACGUCGUGAGACAGUUCGGUCCCUAUCUGCCGUGGGCGCUGGAGAAUUGAGGGGGGCUGCUCCUAGUACGAGAGGACCGGAGUGGACGCAUCACUGGUGUUCGGGUUGUCAUGCCAAUGGCACUGCCCGGUAGCUAAAUGCGGAAGAGAUAAGUGCUGAAAGCAUCUAAGCACGAAACUUGCCCCGAGAUGAGUUCUCCCUGAGACUAUAAGUCUCCUGAAGGAACGUUAAAGACGAUGACGUUGAUAGGCCGGGUGUGUAAGCGCAGCGAUGCGUUGAGCUAACCGGUACUAAUGAACCGUGAGGCUUAACCUU